Molecule: ribosomal RNA, 468 nt
Filed under: uncultured bacterium
Lineage: Bacteria
Description: partial 16S ribosomal RNA
Rfam family: Bacterial small subunit ribosomal RNA
Source: RNAcentral
GAUGAACGCUGGCGGCGUGCUUAACACAUGCCAGUCGAACGGUGAAGGCGGAGCUUGCUCUGCUGGAUCAGUGGCGAACGGGUGAGUAACACGUGAGCAAUCUGCCCCUGACUCUGGGAUAAGCGCUGGAAACGGCGUCUAAUACUGGAUACGAGCUGCGAAGGCAUCUUCAGCAGCUGGAAAGAAUUUCGGUCAGGGAUGAGCUCGCGGCCUAUCAGCUUGUUGGUGAGGUAAUGGCUCACCAAGGCGUCGACGGGUAGCCGGCCUGAGAGGGUGACCGGCAACACUGGGACUGAGACACGGCCCAGACUCCUACGGGAGGCAGCAGUGGGGAAUAUUGCACAAUGGGCGAAAGCCUGAUGCAGCAACGCCGCGUGAGGGACGACGGCCUUCGGGUUGUAAACCUCUUUUAGCAGGGAAGAAGCGAAAGUGACGGUACCUGCAGAAAAAGCGCCGGCUAACUACGUG